AUUCCAGCUCCAAUAGCGUAUAUUAAAGUUGUUGUGGUUAAAAAGCUCGUAGUUGGAUCUCAACAGCCUUGAAGCGGUUAACUUUGUAGUUUUACUGCUUUAUAGGCUGUGCUUUUGCUGGAGGUUUAGGGGUGCUCUUGAUCGAGUGUCUCUGGAUGCCAGCAGGUUUACUUUGAAAAAAUUAGAGUGCUCAAAGCAGGCUAAAAUGCCUGAAUAUUCGUGCAUGGAAUAAUAGAAUAGGAUGUCGAUCCUAUUUUGUUGGUUUUCGGGACUCGACAUAAUGAUAAAUAGGGACAGUCGGGGGCAUUUGUAUUCAAACGACAGAGGUGAAAUUCUUGGUCCGUUUGAAGACAAACUACUGCGAAAGCAUUUGCCAAGAAUGUUUUCAUUG
This 391-nucleotide ribosomal RNA is filed under the name Paracalanus sp. Its description in RNAcentral is "partial small subunit ribosomal RNA". It matches the Rfam family "Eukaryotic small subunit ribosomal RNA", at positions 582 to 975 of the family's 1831-position model. The record is from RNAcentral. Lineage: Eukaryota; Metazoa; Arthropoda; Copepoda; Calanoida; Paracalanidae.